GGGUUGUGAGGUUAAGCGACUAAGCGUACACGGUGGAUGCCCUGGCAGUCAGAGGCGAUGAAGGACGUGCUAAUCUGCGAUAAGCGCCGGUAAGGUGAUAUGAACCGUUAUAACCGGCGAUUUCCGAAUGGGGAAACCCAGUGUGACUCGUCACACUAUCAUUAACUGAAUCCAUAGGUUAAUGAGGCGAACCGGGGGAACUGAAACAUCUAAGUACCCCGAGGAAAAGAAAUCAACCGAGAUUCCCCCAGUAGCGGCGAGCGAACGGGGAGGAGCCCAGAGCCUGAAUCAGCAUGUGUGUUAGUGGAAGCGUCUGGAAAGGCGCGCGAUACAGGGUGACAGCCCCGUACACAAAAGCGCAUGUGUUGUGAGCUCGAUGAGUAGGGCGGGACACGUGGUAUCCUGUCUGAAUAUGGGGGGACCAUCCUCCAAGGCUAAAUACUCCUGACUGACCGAUAGUGAACCAGUACCGUGAGGGAAAGGCGAAAAGAACCCCGGCGAGGGGAGUGAAAAAGAACCUGAAACCGUGUACGUACAAGCAGUGGGAGCCCCACCACUAAGCCAGUGGUGAACUCCACAUACGCAUCCUUUGCUGAAGGUGCGGUUAACGGAGCGCAAGCGACGUUCAACCUCAAAAGAAGCAGAGGGGGCUUAGUGGU
RNAcentral lists this ribosomal RNA (659 nucleotides) under Salmonella enterica. RNAcentral's name for it is "partial 23S ribosomal RNA". It matches the Rfam family "Bacterial large subunit ribosomal RNA", at positions 1 to 675 of the family's 2925-position model. The record is from RNAcentral. Lineage: Bacteria; Pseudomonadati; Pseudomonadota; Gammaproteobacteria; Enterobacterales; Enterobacteriaceae. RNAcentral also lists the same sequence under 1 other name.